This 253-nucleotide ribosomal RNA is filed under the name uncultured bacterium. Its description in RNAcentral is "partial 16S ribosomal RNA". It matches the Rfam family "Bacterial small subunit ribosomal RNA", at positions 524 to 776 of the family's 1533-position model. The record is from RNAcentral.
UACGAAGGGGGCUAGCGUUGCUCGGAUUGACUGGGCGUAAAGGGCGCGUAGGCGGCCGAUCAAGUCAGAUGUGAAAGUCCUGGGCUUAACCUGGGGACUGCAUUUGAUACUGAUUGGCUUGAAUGCAGGAGAGGAUAGCGGAAUUCCCAGUGUAGAGGCGAAAUUCGUAGAUAUUGGGAAGAACACCGGUGGCGAAGGCGGCUAUCUGGACUGUGAUUGACGCUGAGGCGCGAAAGCGUGGGGAGCAAACAGG